Molecule: ribosomal RNA, 253 nt
Filed under: uncultured bacterium
Lineage: Bacteria
Description: partial 16S ribosomal RNA
Rfam family: Bacterial small subunit ribosomal RNA
Source: RNAcentral
UACAGAGGUCCCGAGCGUUGUUCGGAUUCAUUGGGCGUAAAGGGUGCGUAGGUGGCGCUGUAAGUGGGGUGUGAAAUCCCGGGGCUUAACCCCGGGACUGCAUUCCAUACCGCGGUGCUUGAGGACUGGAGAGGAGACUGGAAUUUACGGUGUAGCAGUGAAAUGCGUAGAGAUCGUAAGGAAGACCAGUGGCGAAGGCGGGUCUCUGGACAGUUCCUGACACUGAGGCACGAAGGCCAGGGGAGCAAACGGG